RNAcentral lists this transfer RNA (69 nucleotides) under Callimerus nigroapicalis. Its description in RNAcentral is "tRNA-Met". It matches the Rfam family "tRNA". From Rfam's summary of the family: Transfer RNA (tRNA) molecules are approximately 80 nucleotides in length. Their secondary structure includes four short double-helical elements and three loops (D, anti-codon, and T loops). Further hydrogen bonds mediate the characteristic L-shaped molecular structure. tRNAs have two regions of fundamental functional importance: the anti-codon, which is responsible for specific mRNA codon recognition, and the 3' end, to which the tRNAs corresponding amino acid is attached (by aminoacyl-tRNA synthetases). tRNAs cope with the degeneracy of the genetic code in two manners: having more than one tRNA (with a specific anti-codon) for a particular amino acid; and 'wobble' base-pairing, i.e. permitting non-standard base-pairing at the 3rd anti-codon position. The record is from RNAcentral. Lineage: Eukaryota; Metazoa; Arthropoda; Insecta; Coleoptera; Cleridae.
AAAAAGAUAAGCUAAUUAAGCUAAUGGGUUCAUACCCCGUAUAUAAAGGUACUAAUCCUUUUCUUUUUA